This 252-nucleotide ribosomal RNA is filed under the name uncultured bacterium. RNAcentral's name for it is "partial 16S ribosomal RNA". It matches the Rfam family "Bacterial small subunit ribosomal RNA", at positions 524 to 776 of the family's 1533-position model. The record is from RNAcentral.
UACGUAGGGGGCAAGCGUUGUCCGGAAUUAUUGGGCGUAAAGCGCGCGCAGGCGGUUCAGUAAGUUGGAUGUUUAAUGCCGGGGCUCAACCUCGGUACGCAUCCAAAACUGGUGAACUUGAGUGUAGGAGAGGAAAGUGGAAUUCCACGUGUAGCGGUGAAAUGCGUAGAGAUGUGGAGGAACACCAGUGGCGAAGGCGACUUACUGGACACAUAUUGACGCUGAGGUGCGAAAGCGUGGGGAGCAAACAGG